GCAUAUCAAUAAGCGGAGGAAAAGAAAAUAACAAUGAUUCCUCUAGUAACUGCGAGUGAAGAGGGAAAAGCUCAAAUUUUAAAUCUGUUAGGUUUACCUAACCGAGUUGUAAUUUGAAGAAGCGUUUUCUGCGAAUUUGGUUAGUCCAAAUCCUUUGGAAUAAGGUAUCAUGGAGGGUGAGAAUCCCGUUCGGUUAACCAAAGCGCUUUACGAUACGCUUUCAAAGAGUCAAGUUGUUUGGGAUUGCAGCUUAAAAUGGGAGGUAAAUUUCUCCUAAGGCUAAAUAUUGGCGAGAGACCGAUAGCGAACAAGUACCGUGAGGGAAAGAUGAAAAGAACUUUGAAAAGAGAGUUAAACAGUACGUGAAAUUGUUGAAAGGGAAACGAUUAAAGUCAGUCGUACCUACGAGUAAUCAACCUAUUCGAGUGCGAUUUUGUGGGUAUGUUAGAGUUUAAACCUUCAUGCUUACAAAUUGGUGCUCUUUGGGCGUACUUUCUCGUAUGGUAGGUUAACAUCAAUUUCGAUCGUUAUAAAAUGACUGGAGGAAUGUAGCUUCGACCUCGGUUGAAGUGUUAUAGCCUUUGGUAGAUGUAAUAAUUGGGAUUGAGGAUUGCAACGGAUACCCUUUGGGCUAUUCGUCUGAUCUCUGGAAGUUACCUUGGUGUCAAAAGCGUGCUUACGAUAUUAAGGUUGACGGCCAAUAGGUUAGAACGUGAUUAAAUUCGUUAAGGAUGUUGACGUAAUGGCUUUAAACGAC
Molecule: ribosomal RNA, 757 nt
Filed under: uncultured Glomus
Lineage: Eukaryota; Fungi; Glomeromycota; Glomeromycetes; Glomerales; Glomeraceae
Description: eukaryotic LSU rRNA
Rfam family: Eukaryotic large subunit ribosomal RNA
Source: RNAcentral